UCAUGUGAUCAUCUGAGUUAGAACAAAAUCUAUUCAUUUUCAGGUAUUACUGUGCAAGUGCCCUGAAUCAUUCUGUUGAAAUGUUAUGUGUUUAAGAUUCUUUAUGACAUCAAGAUGUGGUUUGGGAAGGACCUUCAUCUAAAUCUGAAGACAGGACAUACUGGCUCAAAAAGGUGUUUCUGAUAUGGAGAAAAACCCUGCACUGCUCAUUUUAUUUCUUCAUCUUGAGAAUACAGCAAGUUUACCUUUUGUCUGGAAAAUGAUUCAGCAAAGCUAACACCAACAACAAUUUUUCAUGGCACUUUAAACCACCUUGAUGUGAGGAGCCAGCAUCAGAAUGGAUGGUGUCAAUAUCCUGAAUGAAGAAGUGGAGGUAACAGAGGUGGAUCUCAAGACUUGGCCAUGUUCUAGAUUAUAACUGGAUUAUCACAAGUGCUGUCGCCCCUGCUGUAUAUGACGCCCCCACCACCUACACCAGGUGUAGGAAAUGUCGGUCCUGGAGUGCCGUUGUCCUGCAGAGUUUUGCUCCAGCUCUAAACAAACACACCUGAACAACUAGAUCUGAAGAGUCACCAGUAAACUACAGGUAGGCGAGGUUUUAUCAGGGUUGGACAUAAAAUCUGCAGGAUUUCGGCACUCCAGGACCGACGUUGCCUACUCCUGACCUACACCUUCAUCCUGCCACCACCACCCAUACUACCUACAAAAAACUGUAUUGUAAUAAUGCUUUUCACUGUAUUGUAUGAUGUGGUUUUCUCAUUUAGGGUAACUACACUAUGGCAACCAUUUGAUAAAUUGAUUGCUGACUGAUUUUGUUAUUUUUUUUACUUUUUGUUUAAAAUCUAAUCAUUUUUUUGUUUUUGUUUUGUUAAUAUUGUUACAAAUAUACAGUUAAAACUGCACAAUAAAUUUUCUGCUUUUAAAGAUAUAGUUGU
Non-coding RNA from Paramisgurnus dabryanus, 935 nucleotides. The record is from RefSeq and is a predicted model, not a curated record. NCBI's taxonomy places the organism in Eukaryota, Metazoa, Chordata, Actinopteri, Cypriniformes, Cobitidae.